Manis pentadactyla (Chinese pangolin) is the source of this 2637-nucleotide long non-coding RNA. RefSeq lists it as uncharacterized. The record is from RefSeq and is a predicted model, not a curated record. The transcript has 2 exons. Lineage: Eukaryota; Metazoa; Chordata; Mammalia; Pholidota; Manidae.
GGAAGAGCCUGGGGUGGCCCACACCUCAUGCCUGUGCUCCUCUCUGGGGAUGGGGACACGUGAAGGUGGGUGUUUGCUUUGCUUUCUCUGGAUUCUUUGAGUCUUUUAGGAUAAGACUGAAAUCAGCAUUUAAAUGUACUAUCUAUAGAUAUAGACUGUGGAUUAGGUAACUAUCAUUGUUAAAUAUCCUGGUUUUGACACCUGUACUUGGCUAUAUGAGAAAAUGAACUCUUUACAGUAAAGAGGCAUAAUGCCUUCUUACUGUGACAUAAUUCAGGUAAAAAAUACAUGCACACAUGUAUGCAUAUGAGAUACAGAAUACAUAUGUACACACACUCUGAUCAUAUAUAUUCUCUCUAUAUAAAUAUAGAUAAACAGAAUGAAAAUGAUAACGUGAAUGAGGAACAUGUAAACAAAACCUGGGUAAGGGACAUAGGAGUAUUCCUUGUACUACUAACAACUUUAAGAUGAUAACAAAAUUACCAAAAAGUUGUGACAUUAAAGGAAUAGAAGCCAGCAGCAGCUCGUGAAGGCCUCCUAUUUCUGGCCUGGCCAUCCACUCCCCGCUGCAGCCUGCAAAGUGACUUCAGAACACUGUCCCAGCACAAAGGACACACAGACUUUUUUCCUGUAGGCUGCAGGACUUCUGUUCCUGGGACACCUACUUUGAGGAAUGGGGAGUCUGCCCUCGGCCCCCCCAGUCUGGUAUUCCCCUGCUGUCCUGUAGGUUUGUCACCAUGGGGGCCUUGCCCCCACCCUCCUGGACACCCAGUCUGGGUGAUCAGGGACUUUGAGCUCUGUCCUUUCCUGUCCCUUAGUCCUUCAAGCUUAUUUGGAGUUUUCUGUGUGACGUCAAAGCCCUAUGAAGCUGUCCUUUCUGACUGCGGAGCAGGUCAGGGCCUGUGUUGCCCACUUUGGUUGCCUAGCACCCAGGGGCAGCUCGUGGAUCUGUUCCUAGAGCUGGAUUCACUCUCUUGCUCCCCGUCCUUUGCAGACAUCUGCUGGCAACUCUGGGUCUCCAUCAUUCGCCCGUAAAAGAAUCUGGGUGGGGCACGGAUAGGCAGGCCCGCAGGCAGAGCUGAGACUGGAAGUAGGUUCUAGAACGUGGGGAGUUUGGUGUGAUGACGGCGGGAUCUCAAAUCCAUCGUGCAAAGCUGCCUAUCAAACAAAGUGUCGGGGUAGCAGGCUGAAUCUAGGAAGGCACGAAUCCAAACACUUUUCCCCGCACCUCCCGUUGAUACACUUCUGGAGGGGUCAAGACUUAAACAUAAAAACCCAAAGCAGAAGAAAUCUUCAAUGACUUAUAAAUCAUCUGAGUGGAACAGGCCUUUCUAAGCAUGACAAAAAACAAAACUAAAGAAGCUGAGUCAUUAUGUCUGCAUAAACAUUAGAAACUUGUGCAGGAAAAAAACAUGACAGUCCAAAGACAACAAAUUGGAAAGGGGGCGAGCGGCUGGGGGAGAGGACAAAUGAGAGAAGCCCCUCGUGUAUAAAAAUUCUCAUCAAACAGUAGGAAAAAAAUCAGUAACCCAAAAGAAAUGUGGGCAAAGACAAGAACAGGCAAUUCACAGGAAAGGAGUUUAGGUGACGGUAAGAGAGCCACCCUCCCCUUGCAGUAGAGAUAACUUUAAACAAGCACAUGCUGUUUGCAUUCUCGGGCAAAGACCAAAAAGUUUGGUGUUCCGCAGCGUUGCCAGAGAACGGGAACUCUCGGGCCUUCCAAGAACGUGGUCUUGACCUUCUCAAGUUAACUAGGGAGAACUUUGACCCUGAGAACUUAGCAAACAAUGAAACUAACGCAGCCUCACCCUGCUUCCUGCCUUCUGUGUGGAGUCUCCGUUAAUUUCUGUGUGACUUUCUCUCCCCACUCUGUUUCCCAAACUUGUGAAUUUUUUUCCUGUAAAUUAGGCUGAGAAGUAGAUCCAAGCUACCAGCUUCUUACCCAGUUCAUAAAGAUCGUUACUGGUAGAAAUGAACAAAAUUAAUUUGACAAUGGCUAAAACUGUACAUGGUAAAUGUCUUUACUGACACUGAUAGAAGCAUCAAAGGUUUUUUAACUUAGAUGUUAAAAAGUUGACCCCAGACAAUGGGAACUUGGUAGAAAAAAAAGGCUCAAAAUGGCGGGUGCUGUCAUUGGUAAAAUUUGAUAUAGCUUCAAGUUGAGUCGUGAGUUACACAUUUGUUACUAAAUCUUACAGAAAAUGGGGAGUUAGUGUUUAAUGGGUAGAGUGUCAGUUGGGGAAGCUGCAAAAAGCUCUGGAGAUGAAUGGUGGUGAUGGUUGCAUAGAAAUGUGAAUGUGCUUAAUGCCACUGAACUACACUUAAAAUGGAUAAAAUAGCAAAUUUUGUUACACAUGUUUUACCAUAUAUAAUUGAUAUAUAUGUAUGUAUAUAUCUCCCAAAGAAUGAUCUAGAAAAAAAACGGGGACAUUCCAAGUAUUUCAACUUAUCGUUACCACUUUUCAGUUACCAUAGAAACUCAAAGUAACCAAAGCCCAAAAUGUUGAGAUUGCUCUGCAUAUAUGAUGUUAUGAUGCAUAUGAACUUUAUGAUAAAUACCUGUGUUAUAGAUAUUACUCUUGUACAUGAUAGAGAUACAAGAAAUAAUAAUUAAAUCUUACGGAAAAGACCUAAGCA